Long non-coding RNA from Heterocephalus glaber (naked mole-rat), 1884 nucleotides. The record is from Ensembl. Lineage: Eukaryota; Metazoa; Chordata; Mammalia; Rodentia; Bathyergidae.
UUUUCUCUUGGCCACAGAGACUCAAACUGAAGCAUUUCUCACAUCUCCUUGUCAAGACUCAAGAUUGAGAGCUUAUCAUUCAGAACUUGACGGGAGACAGAAUACAACUAUAAUUUCAUGGCGAACCCAAACCCCAGAAGUGACUGCUCAGACUCAGAGAAGUCUCAUAUGAAAAUAAAUUCCCCAGAGAGCCUCUCAAGGGGUGAUCUCCCUAAUUCCCACACCUUUCACCAAAAGACCAAAACCCCCUUCAGAGGUUACAUCUGUCGCCGGGAGACGACAACCUUCUAUGAAGGAUGUGUUGUGGGUUCUUCAAUCAACAACCUCCCCCCUGUGGAAGAACCAGAGGACACACAAAGUCUAGGAAGAUACAUGGGCCACAACUCUCGCACUAAGGACAACCCCAACCUGGUGUGUGCACCAAAUACUGGCGUUGAAGAGGAUGAGGACACAGACUCAGACAGCAAAGGAGCAGGAGCUGAUCAAAUUGUUACUGACAAUGACCAGCAGAUAAACAAGAAUUCAACAUUCAGGGGGCAACGGAUUGACCACGUGGCUGGCUGGCCAGUAAUUCAGCCUGUCAGUCCUAAACUCACUCAGGAACAAGCAGCAGAAGAGAGGAACAAGGAGGAGAGAAAGGAGGAAAGCAAAAGCAGUGAGGAUGAGGAUAAGGAAGCUGAUAAACAAAUUGAAAAUGGUGAAAACCAAGAUGAAGGCUUGCUAAUGGGAUCAACUGAACAAGAAAAAAAGGACGUGGAGAUCAAGAACAACAAAGACAUGGAGAGUAAUAAAAAAGAGUAUGUGGAGCUUUAUGCACAAAUCCAGGUGUAUGAAAGAUCUGAUGACACCAGGCUACCUGAUUCCACUGAGGACAAGGGAAAACAGAACAGUGAGAGUCACAAGGAGAAGGAAGAAAUACAAAUCAAUGAAGAGCCUCAGGACGCUGAUAAACAAAGCCAUGGCUAUGACAAAGACGAUGCCCUCCAGCUCCGAGAUCCACCUGAGGAAAACUUCCAGCUGGGCAGCAGAUCCCCUCCUCAUCCAGCUCAGGUCCUGUGUGAAGAACAGUGUACAUGUGAGGACCUGCCUGCCUGUAAACCACUAGGAAAUACAGAAGUCACCCAAGUCCCAGAGAUGCCAGCGAUGCUCCCAGAAGAUGAACCUGCUGAGGGAUUGAACUCCGGACCUUGCACUUUCGAGGCAGGCACCAGAACCACUGAGCUAAAUCGCCAGCCCCCACAGUUUAUUCUCUAUAAGGACAAAAUGGGGAGCAACUUGGAUUGUGACCUAAAGUUCUUGUCUGCAGAUGGAUUCUGUGAGGAAAUCAAGGUGUGGUUCUGGGAUCAAAAUCAUUGAGAGGAACAAUGUGAGUCACCAUUCUGUCUGGGAGGCAGCCAAGUAUCUCGUUAAUAGGGACUCACAACUAAGAAUUUGCCUUAAAUCUCAGAGGAGGCUUCGGACUUGGACUUUUCAGCAGUGCUAAAACUGUUAGGACUUUGGCAACUCUUGGAGAUGGACUAAAUGCUUUUUUUUGUAUAAAGGGAUAUGCACGAGUCUUUGGGGGGCCAGGGGCAGAAUGUUAUGGCUUGUGUCUAGAUAUCCCCCCAAAGUCUCAUGCUUUUUCUGAGGUGGUUGAAUCUACCGUGUGUGGUGCUGGGAGUAAAGGGCAUGUGAUUACUAAACCACAUAAGUGAUUGGUUUGGCACUACCUUAAUCCCUGUAGUCUGGAUGAAAUAAAAGGGGCAGAAAGACACUGUUAAAGUCUCUUGUUGCUUUUGCUGUCUUCUGCCUCCAUGAGCUGUUGCCCUUCUGCCAUCCUGCCUUGGAGCUAGCCGAUUAUGGACUGAAACCUCUACAAACUGUAAGCCAAAUAAACCUUUUCCC